AGAGAGAGACAUGCGCGCAUAUCAAUAAGCGGAGGAAAAGAAACUAACAAGGAUUCCCUUAGUAACGGCGAGUGAAGAGGGAAGAGCUCAAAUUUGAAAUCUUCAAGGUUUUACCUUGACGAAUUGUAGUUUAAAGAAGUGUUUUCUGCUGAAGUUUUGGUAAAAGUUCUUUGGAAUAGGACAUCAUAGAGGGUGAGAAUCCCGUAUUUGACCAUUAUUUUCAGCUUUGUGAUACACUUUCAAAGAGUCGGAUUGUUUGGGAAUGCAGUCCAAAAUGGGUGGUAAAUUUCAUCUAAAGCUAAAUAUUGGCGAGAGACCGAUAGCGAACAAGUACCGUGAGGGAAAGAUGAAAAGAACUUUGAAAAGAGAGUUAAACAGUACGUGAAAUUGUCAAAAGGGAAGCGUUUGACACCAGUGUUGUUUUCUCGAAAAUCAAUUAAAAAUGGCUCGAUUUUGUAUUGCUGAGACCUUAAAAGCUCACUGUACAUUUUUCGUGUCUUUUUUAAUGCACUUUUCGUUUAACAAGUCAACAUCAGUUUCUUUUGUUGUAAAAGGGUCAUUGGAAGGUGGCUUUCUUUUCGGAGAAAGUGUUCAUAGCCUUUGGCCUCUGCAAUCGGAAGAGACUGAGGUCUGCAGCGUAGACUCUUCGGGGUUAGAUACAUUUGUGCUAAGUUAUAGCUUUUUAUAGACAACUUGUUGACUAUAAUUAGUCUUGUAGCUUACUCGCUUAUGCUAUUUUACCUACGCUUAGGAUGUUGAAGAUGUAGCACAUCAU
Molecule: ribosomal RNA, 775 nt
Filed under: uncultured Neocallimastigales
Lineage: Eukaryota; Fungi; Neocallimastigomycota; Neocallimastigomycetes; Neocallimastigales
Description: partial large subunit ribosomal RNA
Rfam family: Eukaryotic large subunit ribosomal RNA
Source: RNAcentral